RNAcentral lists this ribosomal RNA (303 nucleotides) under Triticum aestivum (bread wheat). RNAcentral describes it as "partial small subunit ribosomal RNA". The record is from RNAcentral. Lineage: Eukaryota; Viridiplantae; Streptophyta; Magnoliopsida; Poales; Poaceae.
AUGGAGUUGUUGCAUAGAGAUACUAGAUUAGAACAACAAUAUUGCAUCCUUCAUACUCGAGCUCAGUUUUCAUUACAAAGUCUGAUUGUUACACUGGAAGUGAGCUUUGUAUAUUCACAACUGGAUUAUGAAAAUGUCAAAGCAAAACAGUGUAGGGAGUGUUUGGUUCCAUUGCUUAGUUGGACAAUAGCUCGGCUAGCUCAUCUAGCAGCUUUCACUUUGAUAACCUUGCUUGGUCAAGUCAUUUGGUUCUUUUACUUUACCAGCCUUAUCGUGAAAACUAUUGUCAGGAAUGGGUCAUAG